GUUUGAUCCUGGCUCAGGACGAACGCUGGCGGCGUGCCUAAUACAUGCAAGUGGAACGCAUGAUGGAAACCGGAGCUUGCUCCACCAUUCAUCAUGAGUCGCGAACGGGUGAGUAACGCGUAGGUAACCUACCUUCUAGCGGGGGAUAACUAUUGGAAACGAUAGCUAAUACCGCAUGACAAUGAAGUACACAUGUACUUGAUUUAAAAGGAGCAAUAGCUUCACUAGGAGAUGGACCUGCGUUGUAUUAGCUAGUUGGUAGGGGUAACCGGCCUACCAAGGCCUCGAUACAUAGCCGACCUGAGAGGGUGAUCGGCCACACUGGGGACUGGAGACACGGGCCAGACUCCUAC
This 353-nucleotide ribosomal RNA is filed under the name uncultured bacterium. RNAcentral's name for it is "bacterial SSU rRNA". It matches the Rfam family "Bacterial small subunit ribosomal RNA", at positions 11 to 342 of the family's 1533-position model. The record is from RNAcentral.